This 490-nucleotide ribosomal RNA is filed under the name uncultured bacterium. Its description in RNAcentral is "bacterial SSU rRNA". It matches the Rfam family "Bacterial small subunit ribosomal RNA", at positions 28 to 521 of the family's 1533-position model. The record is from RNAcentral.
GACGAACGCUGGCGGCGUGCUUAACACAUGCAAGCCACGGGGGCCCAGGGGCAACUCUGGGCCACCGGCGAACGGGUGCGUAACACGUGAGCAACCUGCCUAUCUGCGGGGGAUAGCCGGCCCAACGGCCGGGUAAUACCGCAUACGUUCACGAGGGGACAUCCCCUUGUGAGGAAAACUCCGGUGCAGAUAGAGGGGCUCGCGGCCUAUCAGCUAGUUGGUGAGGUAACGGCUCACCAAGGCGACGACGGGUAGCUGGUCUGAGAGGAUGGCCAGCCACAUUGGGACUGCGACACGGCCCAGACUCCUACGGGAGGCAGCAGUGGGGAAUAUUGCGCAAUGGACGAAAGUCUGACGCAGCGACGCCGCGUGUGGGAUGAAGCUCUUCGGGGGUGUAAACCACUGUUGCCCGGGAAGAAUCUCCUGAUUUAUCAGGAUUGACGGUACCGGGUGAGGAAGCACCGGCUAGCUCUGUGCCAGCCGCCGCCGU